This 808-nucleotide ribosomal RNA is filed under the name Alteromonadales bacterium GUDS1305. RNAcentral's name for it is "bacterial SSU rRNA". It matches the Rfam family "Bacterial small subunit ribosomal RNA", at positions 56 to 859 of the family's 1533-position model. The record is from RNAcentral. Lineage: Bacteria; Pseudomonadati; Pseudomonadota; Gammaproteobacteria; Alteromonadales.
UGCAGUCGAACGGUAACAGGAAGAAGCUUGCUUCUUUGCUGACGAGUGGCGGACGGGUGAGUAAUGCUUAGGGAUCUGCCCAGAGGUGGGGGACAACAGUUGGAAACGACUGCUAAUACCGCAUGAUGCCUACGGGCCAAAGGGGGCUUCGGCUCUCGCCUUUGGAGGAACCUAAGUGAGAUUAGCUAGUUGGUGAGGUAAUGGCUCACCAAGGCGACGAUCUCUAGCUGGUCUGAGAGGAUGAUCAGCCACACUGGAACUGAGACACGGUCCAGACUCCUACGGGAGGCAGCAGUGGGGAAUAUUGCACAAUGGGGGAAACCCUGAUGCAGCCAUGCCGCGUGUGUGAAGAAGGCCUUCGGGUUGUAAAGCACUUUCAGUAGCGAGGAAAAGUUAUUGGUUAAUACCCAAUAGCCUUGACGUUAACUACAGAAGAAGCACCGGCUAACUCCGUGCCAGCAGCCGCGGUAAUACGGAGGGUGCGAGCGUUAAUCGGAAUUACUGGGCGUAAAGCGCAUGCAGGCGGUCUGUUAAGCCAGAUGUGAAAGCCCGGGGCUCAACCCCGGAAUAGCAUUUGGAACUGGCAGACUAGAGUUUUGUAGAGGGGGGUAGAAUUUCAGGUGUAGCGGUGAAAUGCGUAGAGAUCUGAAGGAAUACCAGUGGCGAAGGCGGCCCCCUGGACAAAAACUGACGCUCAGAUGCGAAAGCGUGGGUAGCAAACAGGAUUAGAUACCCUGGUAGUCCACGCCGUAAACGAUGUCAACUAGUUGCUUGUAGCUUUUACGCUGUGGGUGACGGAGCUAACGCA